This is a long non-coding RNA of Esox lucius (northern pike), 1229 nucleotides long. RefSeq lists it as uncharacterized. Lineage: Eukaryota; Metazoa; Chordata; Actinopteri; Esociformes; Esocidae. The record is from RefSeq and is a predicted model, not a curated record. The transcript has 3 exons.
ACAAAUCCUAAUAUCCACCAGAACCGUUUUAUUUUGUGCUUCCUAUUACGUAUCUACGGAAAGUUGUAGCCAGCAAAAUAUUUUCUGUCCUGAACCUCAGGCAUAAUGCGUUUUGACUGUUGCGGGAAGCAAACGUGGGACCUGCUGUUCUGGAGCCCACAUGUGUAAAAGCUACGCUAUUUAACAAGAGCCAGCCAGCCUACCUGCCUUUGUUUUGACCCAUUUUUGGCCAAACUUGUCGUGGCCAAAAAUCUCACACUAGUGAUGACUAAAUUGGAUUCUCUCUCUUUUCCCUGGCCAUGAAAAGGAUGAUGGGAACUGAACUCGGGGGCCAGCCUCUCCUCGUUAGCAACCUUGGGACCUGAUGAAGGCAACAUGCAAUCUGAGGGUCCUUUGUUCUUCCCUCUUGUACAGUACAUUGGUCUAGCCUGGGUCCCAACCUGUUUCUGUUCUGUUGCCAACAGACAGGCAUCCUGGCUAACAAUAUCCUCUGAUAAAUACUUUGAGCUCAUCUACAAAGCUCUGAAACCCCAAGAAGUGUUGUCCUGGACUCACACCCACCCAGCUCUGCUAGAAACCUGUAAGAACCUGUCACAGAGGAAUGCAUAGAGAAGACAAAAGGCUUCACACUGAGCUCAUACUCAGCUUAACCCAGACAUACACACAACACACCAUAUUCCCAGAACAGAACCACCUCUGAGAGACUGAAAAUACAAAGGCAACACUAAUUGCUAAAAGAAACUAGCAGUCUGCUGAUUAAUAGGACAUAUUGGAAAUAGACAAUUCACUCAAAAAAGUGUUUUAAUAAUAAUAAUGUCGACAAAGAUAUGUGAAAUAAAGAAAUGUAAAAAACAUUGAUACAUUUAAACCCUAUUGUCACCCUGGGUUUAUGCCCGAACACCGCGAUGUGCUCCCAAGCUCUGGGCCAGCUCAGGUAGGUGCGUCUCUUCAGGAGCUUCCUCGUGUGGUGGUAGGGGUUGUCCUCCAGAACCACCCGGAUCAGCAAGUCCUUCUGCUCGCCAAACGUGCACAACCUGGAGAGAGCAUGUGGUGUGCCGCUAACUGCAGAGAAUUACCCCCACCUGCCACUCUCCAGAGCACCACUCACUCUCCAGGUGACGGCGGCUGAUCCCGCGGAUGGCCUAGCGGCUACCGUAGACGCUUCACAGGCGUGGAACUGAUUAACUUUCACGCGUGUUCCUCUGCUUGGUGUCGUACAGAUAAGCCAG